AGAAUGUGGAGAAAGUCUUUGUGGAAUUCAAUCAUGGAGAACUAUUUGAGUUCUAUAACAAGUUGGAAACAAUACAAAUGCAGCUGGAUUCGCUUACAUGAUACUACGUGAAGACUAAUUUCUCCAUUAUGCUCCAGCUGCUUUGAUACCGAAGAUAUAUCGGCUGACUGUAUUUGCUGAAAUACUGAGUGGAUUGCUGUCAAUAAAUGAUUUAAGUUUCUUUGAUCAUUCACAUUAGCUAAAUGAAAUCAUUGUUAAGAAAGCUUUGGUUACAAUUGACUACAUGGUAUUAAACUUUAAGUGAAGCAUUUCACUA
Python bivittatus (Burmese python) is the source of this 316-nucleotide non-coding RNA. NCBI's taxonomy places the organism in Eukaryota, Metazoa, Chordata, Lepidosauria, Squamata, Pythonidae. The record is from RefSeq and is a predicted model, not a curated record.